RNAcentral lists this non-coding RNA (25 nucleotides) under Cricetulus griseus (Chinese hamster). The record is from RNAcentral. Lineage: Eukaryota; Metazoa; Chordata; Mammalia; Rodentia; Cricetidae.
UGACUGCUACUUGUUACUUUGUCCC